Molecule: long non-coding RNA, 281 nt
Organism: Scleropages formosus (Asian bonytongue)
Lineage: Eukaryota; Metazoa; Chordata; Actinopteri; Osteoglossiformes; Osteoglossidae
Exons: 3
Source: RefSeq, a predicted model, not a curated record
GUUCUGGCUGCAUUACUUGGUGCACUUUUUUGGUGUAUGAAGAGGAAAUGGAGAGGAGCACAAAAAGAGCAUGACCGAACAGCAAACACACAGGGUCACGCUGCUCCGGAUCUUCUCCAGGAAGCAUAGAGAAUGAUGCAGGGUCUGCUCUGGAUGGGAUGCCCGUCUGUCACAGGAACAUCAUACAUGAUAGCAAAGUUAGAAUUUACCAGAGGCACAUGUCUUUGGGAGGAAGCCAGAGCAUCCAGAGGAAACCACCCAAGAGAAGAACACACAAACUC